GAUGAACGCUGGCGGCGUGCCUAGUACAUGCAAGUCGAGCGAACAGACGAGGAGCUUGCUCCUCUGACGUUAGCGGCGGACAGGUGAGUAACACGUGGAUAACCUACCUAUAAGACUGGGAUAACUUCGGGAAACCGGAGCUAAUACCGGAUAAUAUAUUGAACCGCAUGGUUCAAUAGUGAAAGACGGUUUUGCUGUCACUUAUAGAUGGAUCCGCGCCGCAUUAGCUAGUUGGUAAGGUAACGGCUUACCAAGGCAACGAUGCGUAGCCGACCUGAGAGGGUGAUCGGCCACACUGGAACUGAGACACGGUCCAGACUCCUACGGGAGGCAGCAGUAGGGAAUCUUCCGCAAUGGGCGAAAGCCUGACGGAGCAACGCCGCGUGAGUGAUGAAGGUCUUCGGAUCGUAAAACUCUGUUAUUAGGGAAGAACAAAUGUGUAAGUAACUAUGCACGUCUUGACGGUACCUAAUCAGAAAGCCACGGCUAACUACGUG
RNAcentral lists this ribosomal RNA (497 nucleotides) under uncultured bacterium. RNAcentral's name for it is "partial 16S ribosomal RNA". It matches the Rfam family "Bacterial small subunit ribosomal RNA", at positions 28 to 507 of the family's 1533-position model. The record is from RNAcentral.